Molecule: non-coding RNA, 199 nt
Filed under: Prodigiosinella confusarubida
Lineage: Bacteria; Pseudomonadati; Pseudomonadota; Gammaproteobacteria; Enterobacterales; Pectobacteriaceae
Description: Serratia sp. ATCC 39006 GcvB RNA
Rfam family: GcvB RNA
About the family: The gcvB gene encodes a small untranslated RNA involved in expression of the dipeptide and oligopeptide transport systems in Escherichia coli. Included several unknown homologues in alignment (Bateman A pers obs). It base-pairs with SorC.
Source: Rfam by way of RNAcentral
ACUUCCUGAGCCGGAACGAAAAGCGCGAAGGGGAAAUCCUGAUGUGCUUUUGGCUUGUGGUUGUGAUGUUGUGUUUGCUAUUUGUUUAUUGUCUGCCUUUUCAGACACCGGUAGCUCAGCUACUUUUUCACUUCCUGUAUUUACCCUGUCUGUCUAUAGUGAUUUUGUAUAGCACCGCGUACUUGCGGUGCUUUUUUUU